Molecule: ribosomal RNA, 584 nt
Filed under: uncultured bacterium
Lineage: Bacteria
Description: partial 16S ribosomal RNA
Rfam family: Bacterial small subunit ribosomal RNA
Source: RNAcentral
UGGGGAAUUUUGGACAAUGGGGGAAACCCUGAUCCAGCCAUCCCGCGUGUGCGAUGAAGGCCUUCGGGUUGUAAAGCACUUUUGGCAGGAAAGAAACGUCGCGGGUUAAUACCCCGCGAAACUGACGGUACCUGCAGAAUAAGCACCGGCUAACUACGUGCCAGCAGCCGCGGUAAUACGUAGGGUGCAAGCGUUAAUCGGAAUUACUGGGCGUAAAGCGUGCGCAGGCGGUUCGGAAAGAAAGAUGUGAAAUCCCAGAGCUUAACUUUGGAACUGCAUUUUUAACUACCGGGCUAGAGUGUGUCAGAGGGAGGUGGAAUUCCGCGUGUAGCAGUGAAAUGCGUAGAUAUGCGGAGGAACACCGAUGGCGAAGGCAGCCUCCUGGGAUAACACUGACGCUCAUGCACGAAAGCGUGGGGAGCAAACAGGAUUAGAUACCCUGGUAGUCCACGCCCUAAACGAUGUCAACUAGCUGUUGGGGCCUUCGGGCCUUGGUAGCGCAGCUAACGCGUGAAGUUGACCGCCUGGGGAGUACGGUCGCAAGAUUAAACUUAAAUGAAUUGACGGGGUCAUAGCUGUUUCCU